GACGAACGCUGGCGGCGUGCUUAACACAUGCAAGUCGAACGGAAAGGCCCUGCUUUUGUGGGGUGCUCGAGUGGCGAACGGGUGAGUAACACGUGAGUAACCUGCCCUUGACUUUGGGAUAACUUCAGGAAACUGGGGCUAAUACCGGAUAGGAGCUCCUGCUGCAUGGUGGGGGUUGGAAAGUUUCGGCGGUUGGGGAUGGACUCGCGGCUUAUCAGCUUGUUGGUGGGGUAGUGGCUUACCAAGGCUUUGACGGGUAGCCGGCCUGAGAGGGUGACCGGCCACAUUGGGACUGAGAAACGGCCCAGACUCCUACGGGAGGCAGCAGUGGGGAAUAUUGCACAAUGGGCGGAAGCCUGAUGCAGCAACGCCGCGUGCGGGAUGACGGCCUUCGGGUUGUAAACCGCUUUCGCCUGUGACGAAGCGUGAGUGACGGUAAUGGGUAAAGAAGCACCGGCUAACUACGU
This 467-nucleotide ribosomal RNA is filed under the name uncultured bacterium. RNAcentral describes it as "partial 16S ribosomal RNA". It matches the Rfam family "Bacterial small subunit ribosomal RNA", at positions 28 to 506 of the family's 1533-position model. The record is from RNAcentral.